UCUAAUUCAAUUCAAUUUUGACGCUAUCUACCUGGAGAUAGCUGCAGAUCCCACAGGUUUAGGGCUCAGUCCCACAAGAAUCCCCUCCCUUCAAACACCAGUAGCAAGUCUGGGCCUCCAGAACAUCUAAUCAACUGGCUAUAAGCUGGAGUUCCCAUGACCCUUCCUUUGGGUUCCAUUAAUUUGCUAGAGUGGCUCACAGAACUCAGGGAAACAAAUUUGCUGGUUUAUUACAAAGGAUAAUACAAAGGAUACAAAUGAAGAAACCCACACAGUGAGGCAUGGGGGAAGGGGUGCAGAGCUUCCCUGCCCUCCCUGGGGUGCCACCAUCCAGGCACCUCCGGAAGCUCCCAAUAUGCAUGACUACUUAAACUAUGGGUGAUCAACUUAACCUUCAGCCCCUCUCCCUUCCCCAGGGAUAGGGGGAUGGGCUAAAAGCACCAAACUUCUAAUCUUGCCUAGGUCUUUCUGGUGACCAGCCCCCAUCCUGAAGCUACCUAGAGGCAGCCAGCCAUCAGUCAACUCGUUAGCAUACAAAAAGACAUCACUUUGGAGUUUCUAAGGAUUUUAAGAACUGUUUGCCAGGAAGUCACACAUACAAUUCACCAAAGAAGAUAUACAGAUGGCAAAUAAGCAUAUGAAAAGAUGCUCAACAACACUGGAUAAUAGGCAAUUGCAAAUUCAGAUAAUGAGAUACCACUACACCUAACAGAAUGGCUAAAAUCCAACAUGCUGACAAGAUCAACUGCUGGUAAUAAUGCUGAGCAACAGGAGCCCUCAUUCAUUAUGAUGGGAAUGCAAAAUAGUACAGCCACUUUGGAAGACAAUUUGGCAGUUUCUUACAAAUCAAAAUAUAGUCUUACAACACAAGCAAUCUCGCUCCUAGAUAUUUACACAACUGAUCUAAAAGCUUAUGUCCACACAAAAACCUGUAUGCAGAAAUUUACAGAAGCUUUAUUCAUAAUCAUCGAAAACCAGAAGCGACCAAGAAUGUCAUUCAAUAGGUGAAUGAUUAAACAAACUGUGGUACCUCCAUAAACGGAACAUUAAGUGAUAAGAAAGAAAUGAGCUAAUAAGCCAUUUAAAAAACACAGAAAAACCUUACUGCAUACUGCUAACUGAAAGAACCAGUCUGAAACAGCUACAUACUGUAUGAUUUCAAUUAUACGACAUUCUGAAAAAGGCGAAACCAAAGAAACAAUAGGCAGAUCAGUAGUUGUAGGAGAGGAUGAGGGGAGGAGGCAGGGGAAAACACGAGGAGCACAGAGAAUUUUAAGGGUAAUGAAACUAUGCUGAAUGAUCCUGUAAUGGUGGAUACAUGACAUUUUAUAUUUGUCAAAACCCAUAGAAGGUACAACACAAAGAAUGAACACCUAAAUGCACACUAAUUUUUCAAAAAGAUCAAUUAGGAAGUCAGGGAUCCCAGGAUGGAAUGCAGAAUAUAACAAGAGAAUCUAAACGUAUUACAAAUGUAUGAAACAAUCUCAUUGAAGGGUGUGGGGGGGAGUUGGUGACCUAAGUCACUUUCAAAAUGAAUGGAGUCUUUAACACUAAAGGCAAACAGAACUGCACAUAGCAUUGUACUCUACUUGAUAGUUUCCCAGUGGUGUAAGGGUGAACAAGUUUGAUACUGCUAAAGGCAGGUAUAUGGAAGCAAACAGUUAAGUGGAUGGUGGAUGAUGGCAGCCAGUUUUCUAUUGUUGGAGUGGGAAUUCACACAUGAACAAGGGGAGAAGGCUAGAAUGAUGCAUGUGGUAAUGGAUUUGAGUUGGAGACAUCAUUAAGAACUCACGUUUAAUUUAAUAUAGAUAUACGUAGUUACACAUAGAAAUAUUUACAGGUAUGUGUACACACACAGGUUAGUAUACACAUAAAUAUCUCCUUGCUCUGUCAGCUGAGAGAGCCCAGAAACAAGGACAAUCUGGUAGCAAAAAGCAUACUGGGGGGAGGGCGUGGCAGACAGCCAGCCUGAGCCCCUGGGUUUUUCACAUGGCCCAAGGGCCGGACUUGAGAGUCUCCUUGCAGUGGUGCACGAGAGCAGAGUACAUUGCAGGACAAGCAUUUAGAAAGUUUCUUCUGCUUUUUGACCGGGUAUUGGUUGAAAGGAGUGCAGCUGAAACUGUAACCAAAGGAGGCAUUAUGCUUCCAGAAAAAUCUCAAGGAAAAGUGUUGCAAGCAACAGUAGUGGCUGUUAGAUCGGGCUCUAAAGGAAAAGUUGGAGAGAGUCAACCAGUUAAUGUGAAAGUUGGAGACAAAGUCCUUCUCCCAGAAUAUGGAGGCACCAAAGUAGUUCUAGAUGACAAGAAUUAUUUCUUAUUUAGAGAUGGUGACAUUCUUGGAAAGUAUGUGGGCUGAAAUAAAUCACUAUUGAAAUGGCAUUGACAUGAAGCUCAUUCCACUGAAGUUCUGAAAUCUUUCAUCAUGUAAAUAAUUUCCAUGUCUCUCUUUUAUAAUAAACUAAUGAUCUCUAAA
Non-coding RNA from Microcebus murinus (gray mouse lemur), 2472 nucleotides. The record is from RefSeq and is a predicted model, not a curated record. Lineage: Eukaryota; Metazoa; Chordata; Mammalia; Primates; Cheirogaleidae.